AGUGAACGCUGGCGGUAGGCCUAACACAUGCAAGUCGAACGGCAGCACAGUAAGAGCUUGCUCUUACGGGUGGCGAGUGGCGGACGGGUGAGGAAUACAUCGGAAUCUACUUUUUCGUGGGGGAUAACGUAGGGAAACUUACGCUAAUACCGAAUACGCCCUACGGGUGAAAGCAGGGGAUCUUCGGACCUUGCGCGAUUGAUUGAGCCGAUGUCGGAUUAGCUAGUUGGCGGGGUAAAGGCCCACCAAGGCGACGAUCCGUAGCUGGUCUGAGAGGAUGAUCAGCCACACUGGAACUGAGACACGGUCCAGACUCCUACGGGAGGCAGCAGUGGGGAAUAUUGGACAAUGGGCGCAAGCCUGAUCCAGCCAUACCGCGUGGGUGAAGAAGGCCUUCGGGUUGUAAAGCCCUUUUGUUGGGAAAGAAAAGCAGCAGGUUAAUACCCCGCUGUUCUGACGGUACCCAAAGAAUAAGCACCGGCUAACUUCGUG
RNAcentral lists this ribosomal RNA (492 nucleotides) under uncultured bacterium. RNAcentral's name for it is "partial 16S ribosomal RNA". It matches the Rfam family "Bacterial small subunit ribosomal RNA", at positions 29 to 507 of the family's 1533-position model. The record is from RNAcentral.